RNAcentral lists this ribosomal RNA (300 nucleotides) under uncultured bacterium. RNAcentral's name for it is "bacterial SSU rRNA". It matches the Rfam family "Bacterial small subunit ribosomal RNA", at positions 29 to 320 of the family's 1533-position model. The record is from RNAcentral.
AAUGAACGCUGGCGGCGCGCCUAAUACAUGCAAGUCGAGCGAGAAGACGUAGCAAUACGUUUGUAAAGCGGCGAACGGGUGAGGAAUACAUGGGUAACCUACCCUAGAGUGGGGAAUAACUAGCCGAAAGGUUAGCUAAUACCGCGUACGCUCCUUGGACUUCGGUUCAGGGAGGAAAGCGAUGCCGAGGGUAUCGCGCUCUUGGAUGGGCUCAUGUCCUAUCAGCUGUUGGUGAGGUAACGGCUCACCAAGGCUUCGACGGGUAGCUGGUCUGAGAGGACGAUCAGCCACACUGGCACU